GCGAUCUUAUAUACUUGAACAGGAUCUGUUCUAUAGACUCGCACCUCAAUAUCCUUUAGCACAAAAGAAAGAAAGAAAGUAAAAGCGGUGAAUUAUUGUGGAGAUGAAGAAAUGCUAA
This 118-nucleotide small nucleolar RNA is filed under the name Corchorus capsularis. Its description in RNAcentral is "snoRNA Plant_U3". Lineage: Eukaryota; Viridiplantae; Streptophyta; Magnoliopsida; Malvales; Malvaceae. The record is from RNAcentral.